Myotis lucifugus (little brown bat) is the source of this 81-nucleotide microRNA precursor. The record is from Ensembl. NCBI's taxonomy places the organism in Eukaryota, Metazoa, Chordata, Mammalia, Chiroptera, Vespertilionidae.
GGGUACUUGAGGAGAGGUUGUCUGUGAUGAGUUCGCUUUAUUAAUGACGAAUAUAACACAGAUGGCCUAUUUUCAGUACCA